GGUCCGUCUUGCCACAGGUUCCAACAGGAUGCUCGCUAAUUGUCAACGAAGCUCUUGGAUCUUUCAGUGCAUUUCUUGCAGUCGGAUCAAGAGUUGUCAAGUAGAAGUAAGGGAUACCACUGCCUUUUCCAGGUUCUCCAUCGCUAAAUGAAACCACAUUCCUGCAUCAUAUUUUCAAAUUACUUUAUCCGAGAGACUUCAUAGGCGUUGUAGUGGCGUAUAGGUUUCAUUAACCACUUGAGAUCGAUGCAAGAGUUUGAGGCAAACAUAGAGCAUGAUUGGGAGGAAAGGCAUAACAAAUGGAUAUAUUCAAACGAGAAUCACAGAGCGAAGAGAGCUGCAUUAUGCAUUACGCACACACUGUCCUACCGGUGGUAAUUUUCAUCUUACUGGAAACUUGUUCUUCCUAUAGGGCACAAGUACUAAACAAAGAAAGGAAACUAAACAUUAGGAGUGUAUGUCUUGCCACGAACGAACCCUGCAAAACAUUUUGCUUUUCCCUAAACUUGUACUUACGAGGGCGGACACUAGACAUAAAUACUAGAAUUCAGUAGUAUAUCUAACGCGGUAAUAUAUAUAACAAAAAAAAAGAAGUCUUACCCGAAGGGUGCUCCUUCCAAUUCACUUGAGAUAGUACUGUGAAGGAAACAAAAAUCACAAGUAAGCAUCAAAUGUCUAAGCUUCCAAACACAAAUAAUAUUGAUUACAAAAACUAAGUUGAUAUUUCUCAAGGAGCACUUGGGAUUUUAAUGAAAAUAUCAACUACUUUCUAAUGAAAACACUUCUAACAUAGGGCUCGUUUGGAACUGCUUUUAAAAUAGCAGAAAGCGUUUUUUAUGAAAAUGUUUUUAGAACCAAUCUUUAGGAAAAAUGCAUGUGAAUCCUGCAAAAGCACUUGAAAUGCUUCCUACAAGAAUCACAUGACUGGAACCCAGAAACUACUUUUGGAGCUCAAAAACAUUUCUGGCUUUCGGUCAUUUUAAACUGAAUUCUAACGAGUUUAUAAACACUUAUGAACUAAAGUUCUUCUUACAUAAGUAAUCAUUAACGACCCCAACAAGUGCUUCCGUAACCAGAAGCACGUUUAACUCUUACUGUCGCUAAAAGCACUUUCUAACAACCAAUUUACAAGCAAGUAAAGAUUCUACAACAUCCAAACAUGUUUGAAUUUCAUCACAAACACACGAGCUUCGAAAUCAGAUCUCCAAUUUGACCAAUAAGAACCAAAUUAAAAUCACACUAAUUUGGUUCUCUAAUCAUUAAACAUAAUCAUAGCCAAAAACCCCCCAAAUUAACCGAAAGCAAUCUUCCCACGACAGUAAAAAGUAAAAAAAAACCAACAGAAACAACACGAAAUUACAAGAAAGUAAAGAGAUUCUUACUUCAAGACGCCCCAGGAAUUCUGAGCGACCAACCAGCGAGCAGUGGCGGAAGCAUUUUCCGGGUCGGGUUUCUUCAGCAAGAGAACCCGCCCAUCCACAGGCAGUUGGAUACCCGACGGUAGAGAAACCAAGUAGACUGCGAACGCGAAGUGAACAAGCCCUUUGAUCGUCGUCGUCGUCAUCGG
This 1567-nucleotide long non-coding RNA is filed under the name Malus domestica (apple). RNAcentral describes it as "long non-coding RNA (MDOM_LNC017181)". The record is from RNAcentral. Lineage: Eukaryota; Viridiplantae; Streptophyta; Magnoliopsida; Rosales; Rosaceae.